Molecule: transfer RNA, 73 nt
Filed under: Ixodes scapularis (black-legged tick)
Lineage: Eukaryota; Metazoa; Arthropoda; Arachnida; Ixodida; Ixodidae
Rfam family: tRNA
About the family: Transfer RNA (tRNA) molecules are approximately 80 nucleotides in length. Their secondary structure includes four short double-helical elements and three loops (D, anti-codon, and T loops).
Source: Rfam by way of RNAcentral
UCCUGGUUAGCUCAGUUGGUGGAGCGCUCCACUGGAAAUGGAGAGAUACCUGGUUCGAUACUACGACCAGGCA